Spinacia oleracea (spinach) is the source of this 636-nucleotide long non-coding RNA. RefSeq lists it as uncharacterized. The record is from RefSeq and is a predicted model, not a curated record. The transcript is spliced from 4 exons. NCBI's taxonomy places the organism in Eukaryota, Viridiplantae, Streptophyta, Magnoliopsida, Caryophyllales, Amaranthaceae.
CUUCACGUGAAACCCUCCAUUCACGUGAACCUGAAAAAUUGCUCAAGUCCCUUUGUCCCAGCCGCCACCAGUCGCCGGACACCUACAACCGUCGGACCACCGUCGACCUCCCCUUCUGACCGCCGCAGCACCACCGCAGCGUCGCCGCCCAACCUACAUCGUUGCGCCGCAGCGUUCUUCGCCCACACCAACGUCCUCCUUGUUCUCCCACUUGCUCGCCGGAACUCCUCUUCGAUCUUCCUAUCCCGCAAGCACGAGUCAGUCGCAGCCACCACCUCUGCACCACCAGCUUGCGGUGUUUGUUGCCGCCGUCUCUGACCGCCGGCUAGCCACCCCUUUUGUCUCUCUUUUUGGCGGAGAAUUCUCUUUAGGCGACUUUUGGAAGUGUUAAAGUGGCCUAUUAUUUGUUUACACAAGUCUCUAAGGAUCAAUAAGCAUUGUCCAUCUGCAGGUUUGAAGAUGUUGCAUCAUUGGGAUCGGGAAUAGAGAGCUUGUAUUUAGUUUUGAUUUGCUAAGUUGACUUGGGUUUGUUUAAUUGGACUUUAAACUUGUUAGUUGACCUUAUUUUCGUUGAUUGGUUUUGGGAUUAACUAUGUAAUCGAUUAUUUAUAAACCUAAAGUUAGUUUUAUGUUUUC